RNAcentral lists this ribosomal RNA (253 nucleotides) under uncultured bacterium. RNAcentral's name for it is "partial 16S ribosomal RNA". It matches the Rfam family "Bacterial small subunit ribosomal RNA", at positions 524 to 776 of the family's 1533-position model. The record is from RNAcentral.
UACGAAGGGGGCUAGCGUUGUUCGGAAUUACUGGGCGUAAAGGGCGCGUAGGCGGUGUGUCAAGUCAGGCGUGAAAGCCCCGGGCUCAACCUGGGAACCGCGCUUGAGACUGGCACGCUAGAGUUCGGGAGAGGAUGGUGGAAUUCCCAGUGUAGAGGUGAAAUUCGUAGAUAUUGGGAAGAACACCGAUGGCGAAGGCAGCCAUCUGGACCGACACUGACGCUGAGGCGCGAAAGCCAGGGGAGCAAACGGG